This 200-nucleotide ribosomal RNA is filed under the name uncultured bacterium. RNAcentral describes it as "partial 16S ribosomal RNA". It matches the Rfam family "Bacterial small subunit ribosomal RNA", at positions 30 to 230 of the family's 1533-position model. The record is from RNAcentral.
AUUGGACGCUGGCGGCAUGCCUUACACAUGCAAGUCGAACGGCAGCACGGGAGCAAUCCUGGUGGCGUGUGGCGAACGGGUGAGUAAUACAUCGGAACGUGCCCAGUUGUGGGGGAUAGCCCGGCGAAAGCCGGAUUAAUACCGCAUACGACCUACGGGUGAAAGCGGGGGAUCGCAAGACCUCGCGCAAUUGGAGCGGC